RNAcentral lists this ribosomal RNA (505 nucleotides) under uncultured bacterium. RNAcentral describes it as "partial 16S ribosomal RNA". It matches the Rfam family "Bacterial small subunit ribosomal RNA", at positions 28 to 507 of the family's 1533-position model. The record is from RNAcentral.
GACGAACGCUGGCGGCGUGCCUAAUACAUGCAAGUAGAACGCACAGUUUAUACCGUAGCUUGCUACACCAUAGACUGUGAGUUGCGAACGGGUGAGUAGCGCGUAGGUAACCUGCCUGGUAGCGGGGGAUAACUAUUGGAAACGAUAGCUAAUACCGCAUAAUAUUGAUUAUUGCAUGAUAAUUGAUUGAAAGAUGCUAUUGCAUCACUACCAGAUGGACCUGCGUUGUAUUAGCUAGUAGGUGAGGUAACGGCUCACCUAGGCGACGAUACAUAGCCGACCUGAGAGGGUGAUCGGCCACACUGGGACUGAGACACGGCCCAGACUCCUACGGGAGGCAGCAGUAGGGAAUCUUCGGCAAUGGACGAAAGUCUGACCGAGCAACGCCGCGUGAGUGAAGAAGGGUUUCGGAUCGUAAAGCCCUGUUGUAAGAGAAGAACGGGUGUGAGAGUGGAAAGUUCACACUGUGACGGUAUCUUACCAGAAAGGGACGGCUAACUACGUG